UCACGUAUGAUUUCUAUUUACGUUACACACUAUACUUUGUCACAAUUGAACUAUAAUGGAGGUUUAGGCAAGGGGAAAUUGCUGCUUAUCUGGUGGUACUCUUUCUUUUUUGUUGUUGGUGCUUUUGUACUGAACUGGUCGGGUGAUGUAAAAAGGAUCUUCAAGGGUUGGAUUUUCAGCAAAGAAAAAGAAACUAGAUAGCUUUGUGCAUCAGAUGAGAAGGCUUUUCUCUCUGAAUAGCAUAGAGGGUUGGAUUAGUACUGAACCUAGAGCCGUCAAUAUGGGUUAGGCCCGACCCAGCCUGUAAUUUGAUGGAGUUGGGCUUCAGUUUUUGCAGCCCAUUUAAGAACAGGGCAUUUUAGCCCAGCCUAGAUAAUCCCGUGGCUCGUGGGGCUUGAGCAAUGUGAGUUGGGCUAGCCCAUGGGCCCGCCCGUAAGUCAAUUGCAUACAACUAUUUAGAUUGCUUAUUAGAAUUUUUAUUUGGUUCGAAGGAUAUCAUGUCAAAAGUUAUUUAAUUUCGCUAUUAGGAGUAUUUUUUGGGGUGUUGGAGACUUGAUUAAUAAGUAUUUAACACUAUGUAAUAUUGGCUGAUAAUAUUCAUGUUUAUUAACAUUCUAAAAUUAAAUUAUAAAAUAUUAUUUUUUAAAAAGUGGGUUGGCCCGUGAGGCCCACAGCCCACAGAGUAAUGGUGUGAGCUUGGUGUUUUUUAGCCAUCAUUUUGAUGGGCCAGCCCGUCUUGGCCCGUCAAACUCAAAGCCCGUGUGGGCCAGCCCUGAUUGGCUGGGUCGACCCGUAUUGACGGCUUUAACUAAACCUUUUAGAGAAAUUAAUUCAAUAGAUUAAAUAGAGUCCUUUUUAGACUAAUAUAAUCUCCAAGAGUCCUCUAAAUCUAUGAUUCAAUUCAAAUUAGUUGGAAUUUAGUUGACCAUGAAGUAUGAGAUAUAUGUCCUCACGUUUGAGGUAGUGGUGUGGGCUGUGUUCAUUCUAUCCUCCUCAGACCCCACUUUGUGGGGAAUAUAUGGGUAUGUUGUUGUUGUUGUUGUUGAAGUAUGAGAUAUGUGGGCAUGUGCUUUUGUGGUGGAGUCUCUUAAGUUGUUUAGUGAGAUAAAGGUUAUCAAGCCCAUUUUAUUUCUUUCUCUUUAUGAUGGUGAUUUUUGUAGCGUAACUUAUUAGUAUCUCUCUACGUGUUCCUAGCCUCAUGUUUAGCGUAACUCAUUAGUUAUCACGCAUUAAGCUAUGCAACCGCAUCAUUGAUGAGAAGCGCAAUUUAAGAGAAAAAAGACCUAAUAGAGCAUCCAAAACAGUAAAUCAUAAGUGAAAAAACCACAACUAUAUAAUCAAUAAUAAAGACGAUUUAUAUAAGCAAAAGUAUAAAUGAAACACCAAAAGUAAAACAGAGAAAAAAAAAAGCUGCCGAAAAAAUAAAAACAGAGCAGCAGAAAACUAAAAGUAAAACGGAGAAAAAGAAAGAGAAAGAGCAGGAAAAAAACAAAGCUGCAGUCAGGAAAAAAACAAAGCUGCAGUAAGAGUAAAAACUGAGUAGCAAGUAAAGAAGGAAGGAAGAAAAGCAGAAGUUUAAAAAAAAAAAAGAAGAAGAAAAGAAACAGUGAAACAGAGAAGGAGAAGAAGGAAGAAGAAAGAAGAAGGAAAAAAAAUUACUUUAAAGAAGAGAAGUCCCAGCAACAAUGAGGAUUGGACUUUGGAGAAGAAGAGAACAAGAAUGGAACAGCAAGUCGCAGCAGCCAAAAAACUGAAGAAGAAAAGUCGUGAUUGCUAAACCUACAAAAUCGCGUCUUUUUCUUUCAUUAAAUUCACCCAGUUUUUUUAAUUUAUUUAAAAUGGCCCAACAAUUUAAAUAAACACGAUGCGAGCGCAUCAGCCCACAUCACGCAUCAGAGGGUGAUGCACCCGCUUUUUGUAGAUUGCCUCGCAUCAAAAACCCAAAGCGAAAACACCCCGCAUCGCAUCGCAACGGCGCAUUAUGCGACGAUGCGACCACAUCCAAGAACACUGGGUGAAACUAAAAAAUUUCAGCACUAUUGAUAUGGCCAACAGUUCUAUUAUUAACUGGCCAUUGAAGUCAUUUCACUCAGUAAUCUUAUACCCUUAGUGAUUAAAAAUCUUGUCGCAGAAAUAAAUCUCCCGAAAACUGUCAACAAACCUUAGCAGCCUCUCAUACUAAGGUGCCUUUUCCACUUGGUUGAUAAGUACCUUUCGACAUCAUGAAUAUUAUACAAAGGUUUUUAUUUCUGGGUUUUCCACAUGGUGAUUUAAGGUGUCUUUUCCACUUUGUUGAGAAGUACUUCUCGACAUCAAUAAUAUGUUGCUUUAUAUUUCUGGGUUUUCCACAUGGUGAUUUAGGAUUCGUUUUUAACGGAAUUACUUUUCUACAGAUUGUGCAAAAACUUCUCAUUGCCGCUGUUGCUGAUGCUGAUGUUACUGUUCGGCAUUCAAUUUUUUCCUCGCUUUAUGCUGAUGGAGGAUUUGAUGAGUUUCUGGCUCAGGCUGAUAGUUUGACAGCUAUAUUUGCCACUUUAAAUGACGAGCGAUGAGAGAAGAAUGUCAAUGAAGUUAAUGAGUUAACUGAAGGCCCUGUUUGCCAGUAAUUGUAGAAGUGAAGACUCUAGAGCAACUAAAGGCCUUAUUUGAAUUACAUGUUCAUUUAGAUAUCCGAGUAAGUUGCAUCCUCUUCUAAUCUCUUUGUACAUUCUUUUCUCAGAGAGAACUGAACGUGUUUUGUCUAUUAACUCGUUAUGUUUGGGGACAUGGUAAAAAUUUGGUAUUAUUACAUUUAGG
RNA transcript from Capsicum annuum, 2796 nucleotides. RefSeq lists it as uncharacterized. Lineage: Eukaryota; Viridiplantae; Streptophyta; Magnoliopsida; Solanales; Solanaceae. The transcript is spliced from 2 exons. The record is from RefSeq and is a predicted model, not a curated record.